UACACGACUCUCGGGAAUGGAUAUCUCGGCUCUCGCAUUGAUGAAGAACGUAGCAAAAUGCGAUUCUUGGUGUGAAUUGCAGAAUCCCAUGAACCAUCGAGUCUUUGAACGCAAGUUGUGCCCGAAGCCAUUAGACCUAGGCAUCACAC
RNAcentral lists this ribosomal RNA (149 nucleotides) under Acaena elongata. RNAcentral's name for it is "5.8S ribosomal RNA". It matches the Rfam family "5.8S ribosomal RNA". Rfam says of the family: 5.8S ribosomal RNA (5.8S rRNA) is a component of the large subunit of the eukaryotic ribosome. It is transcribed by RNA polymerase I as part of the 45S precursor that also contains 18S and 28S rRNA. Functionally, it is thought that 5.8S rRNA may be involved in ribosome translocation. Lineage: Eukaryota; Viridiplantae; Streptophyta; Magnoliopsida; Rosales; Rosaceae. The record is from RNAcentral.